This is a long non-coding RNA of Xenopus laevis (African clawed frog), 963 nucleotides long. RefSeq lists it as uncharacterized. The record is from RefSeq and is a predicted model, not a curated record. The transcript has 3 exons. Lineage: Eukaryota; Metazoa; Chordata; Amphibia; Anura; Pipidae.
AUCCCUUUCUUCUCCGUUUCUAUAGAUUUCCUGUUUCCAGGGAGACCAAGGUCGAGGUAUCAGUCUCAGGAAUUUGUUUUUAUCGGGCUUCCGUAUGAAUCCUCCAUAGCGUUUCACCAUUAUGCCUUGAGAGUCCACCAGGGGGGACACCAGUUCCUGCUCCUUCUUCACUUCUAUGAUCCCUUCUUGAGAAGAUAAGAGCUGGCUACAACUCUCCCAUUCAUCAUCAGGAAGCAGAGAUCCCUCACACUGCAAGGAACAUACCUGUAUGGGGGCAAAAGUAAAUCAAAAAGUUCUGUACCUAAAUUGACGAUGAUCAUCAGCCCUAAUUUGGGAUAUUCAGCAGAUGCCAAGAUCCAUUGAGGGUCCCAUAUUGGCAUACACAGCAGAGAAAGAAAUCAACAAGGUGCAGUGGGCGAGCACCCAGUCUGACUGUAUUGCCAUUUGUUAUAACAACUGACUGGAGAUCCUGCAUGUGUGACUGUAUUUAUUCCUUACUCUUUUAGCCCACUCCUCCUGCCCCUUUCCUACAGGAUCUUCCUCUCCUCACGGCCUACAGAUUUUAUAUAUCCAGACUUUCCCAUAUAAGCCAGAAGAUCCUCAUUCUACUUCCGGAGUUAAUUGGCUUUCUCUACUAAACAUUAUUAUCCAGAUAAACCAAGUCCUUAUGUCUGUUUUUACAGUAUAUGAACUCUGUUACAUUGAGGAAUUAGUGCUACUUAGUAAAUCAGGCCCUGUUUUUAGCCUGCAACUUUAAAAGGGAUUCCCUUCCCUGGUCAGUCCCCUGUAUUUAGCCUUGAGUGUAUUUCAGUUGUGGAUUAUGUGGGUGGGAUGGUAACUAUUGUACUGUAAAAUGACUUGUGCCUACUAUCCACAUAUUUGUGUGUAUUUGUAGUGCUGACAUGCUAUUUCUAUUUAUUGUCUGACAUUAAAUGAGAAUCAGGUUCCCUCCAUUGAUUAGCA